UACGGAGGGCGCAAGCGUUGUUCGGAUUUAUUGGGCGUAAAGGGCGCGUAGGCGGGCGAGUAAGUCUGGUGUAAAAUCUUCACCGCUCAACGGGAAGAAGCCACUGGAUACUGCUCGUCUUGAGGUCAUUAGAGGGAAACGGAACUCCUGGUGUAGCGGUGGAAUGCGUAGAUAUCAGGAAGAACACCGAUUGCGAAGGCGGUUUCCUGGGGUGAACCUGACGCUGAGGCGCGAAAGCUAGGGGAGCAAACGGGAUUAGAUACCCCGGUAGUCCUAGCCGUAAACGAUGAGCACUAGGUGUGGGAGGUAUCGACCCCUUCCGUGCCGACGCUAACGCAUUAAGUGCUCCGCCUGGGGAGUACGGUCGCAAGGCUGAA
This 377-nucleotide ribosomal RNA is filed under the name uncultured bacterium. Its description in RNAcentral is "bacterial SSU rRNA". It matches the Rfam family "Bacterial small subunit ribosomal RNA", at positions 524 to 898 of the family's 1533-position model. The record is from RNAcentral.